This 497-nucleotide ribosomal RNA is filed under the name uncultured bacterium. RNAcentral's name for it is "partial 16S ribosomal RNA". It matches the Rfam family "Bacterial small subunit ribosomal RNA", at positions 28 to 507 of the family's 1533-position model. The record is from RNAcentral.
GAUGAACGCUGGCGGCGUGCCUAAUACAUGCAAGUCGAGCGAACGGACGAGAAGCUUGCUUCUCUGAUGUUAGCGGCGGACGGGUGAGUAACACGUGGAUAACCUACCUAUAAGACUGGGAUAACUUCGGGAAACCGGAGCUAAUACCGGAUGAUAUUUUGAACCGCAUGGUUCAAAAGUGAAAGACGGUCUUGCUGUCACUUAUAGAUGGAUCCGCGCUGCAUUAGCUAGUUGGUAAGGUAACGGCUUACCAAGGCAACGAUGCAUAGACGACCUGAGAGGGGGAUCGGCCACACGGGAACUGAGACACGGUCCAGACUCCUGCGAUAGGCAGCAGUAGGGAAUCUUCCGCAAUGGGCGAGAGCCUGACGGAGCAACGCCGCGUGAGUGAUGAAGGUCUUCUGAUCGUAAAACUCUGUUAUUAGGGGAGAACAUAUGUGUAAGUAACUGUGCACAUCUUGACGGUACCUAAUCAGAAAGCCACGGCUAACUACGUG